CCUCGGGAGGCAGCAGUGGGGAAUAUUGCACAAUGGGGGAAACCCUGAUGCAGCAACGCCGCGUGGGUGAAGAAGGCUCUUGGGUCGUAAAGCCCUUUAGCUUGGAAAGAAGCGGGUAGGUUCAAACAGGGCCUAUCUGUGACGGUACCAAGACAAUAAGCACCGGCUAAUUUCGUGCCAGCAGCCGCGGUAAUACGAAAGGUGCAAGCGUUGUUCGGAAUUACUGGGCGUAAAGCGCACGUAGGCGGGACUAUAGGUCAAUUGUGAAAGCCCAGGGCUCAACCUUGGAAUUGCAGUUGAAACCAUAGUUCUUGAAUACCUGAGAGGGUGGGAGAAUUCCUGGUGGAGAAGUGAAAUUCGUAGAGAUCAGGAGGAAUACCAGAGGCGAAGGCGCCUGCCUGGCAGUGUAUUGACGCUGAUGUGCGAAAGCGUGGGGAGCAAACAGGAUUAGAUACCCUGGUAGUCCACGCCGUAAACGAUGGAUACUAGGCGUUCGAUGGAUUAACCCAUUGAGUGCCGCAGUUCACACAUUAAGUAUCCCGCCUGGGGAGUACGGUCGCAAGGCUAAAACUCAAAUGAAUUGACGG
RNAcentral lists this ribosomal RNA (587 nucleotides) under uncultured bacterium. RNAcentral describes it as "partial 16S ribosomal RNA". It matches the Rfam family "Bacterial small subunit ribosomal RNA", at positions 339 to 916 of the family's 1533-position model. The record is from RNAcentral.